This 2148-nucleotide long non-coding RNA is filed under the name Scleropages formosus (Asian bonytongue). RNAcentral describes it as "lncRNA (ENSSFOG00015025282.1)". The record is from RNAcentral. Lineage: Eukaryota; Metazoa; Chordata; Actinopteri; Osteoglossiformes; Osteoglossidae.
CACGUGCCCACUCCGCACAGGGUCCACCUGGUCUCCGAGAGAUGGAAUGGGCUCCAGAUGCUCCUCACUCAGGUGGUCCAAAGCACAGUUUCUCUUUGCGUUUGAGACGCACACCUGUCUGACCUUCCGGAGGAGACGACUUCAAUCUUCAGUGGAAACACAGACCCUCGUUUCAAAAGGCCCUAUCCUUACCAAGGUCAUGGCGAACCUGCUCUACCACUCAGAUAAGACCCGUAUUUAACAAUGACCCCUUAUUUUACGGCAGGCAAAGUGUCCGAGUGUCUCCAAGGCAGCCGAGUCUCCAGGUUCGAAAACAACUGGUUGAAGAUAAACUAUUUUUCUCACCUGGCCUGAUCAUUUACUGCAAAGUUACCAUGUGAUUAGUGCAAACACCAGUGUGUGUGUGUGUGUCUGUGUGUAUUAGGAACCAGUUUCCUGUCAAUAUGGAGUCAGUGAAGAAAUAAAACCUGAAGAGUCGUUGAGAAGGAUGGAGCCCAGACUCACAGAUAGAUGUUUUUCCAGCAAUAAAAGUGAACAUGUCACCUGUCUGUCUGUGUGUGUGUGUGUGCGUGCGUCUGUGUACACCUAUUCAUAGAGAAGCAGGGUUGGACACUGUAACUUGACAUGAACGUGAAGCAAAGGGACCGACUGGAAUCAGUGCUCAACUGGGCCUUUCUCCUCGUUUUGUCGGUUUCCCGAGCGCCUUGACCCGGAAGGCCGUCGUUCGCCCGAAAGGCUCUGCUGCAUCUCGGCAUCGGGUUCGAGGGUGGCAGGGACAACAAGGACGCCAGGUUCGGCUAAACACCUCUCCAUGCUGGAAGCAGAAGUGCGUGUCAAUGCAGCACACACUCGUCGAGCUCUGCGUUACUCGACUAUUCUCGAGCCGAUAUCAAUCCCACACCAGCGGAGGUGAAAAUGAGGGAAAAAGUGAUAUUGUCAUAAAAAUGACUGACGACCGUUUAGCACUGACAGCCUUCUUAAUUGUCCACAGCUGCUGGACGACGAUCAGGCCAUUCCCACGAAGACACGCGGACAUCGAGAACAAGAGGGACAGGAGCCAGGAGGCCACUCUUCUCUCCUGUUUCCCCAGGGUGACGCACAUCGCUCGGAGGAAGGUCAGGCAGCAGAAGAAGAAGAGUGUGACGUGAUGAACCUGCUGUUGGCACCAGGUGGAAACGCUGCUGCAGGUUCUGCUCAGCACUUGGGCCACAUGGUGACUGACGUGACGAGUGACGGAAACGGGGAAGAAAGAAGAAAAGAUAAAGAAUAACUUUUGUUCUCUUCCACGGGAAACGGCCGCGCAGGAGAUCAGAGUCUCGUGCCUCAGCUCAGCAGCCUGCGCCGCACUCACAGCUGACCGUGUGCCGGAGACGAGUUUCCAUCCGCCGGUUGCGCGGCAGCCACGAGACGGCUCCCGGGACGUUUACCGCGUUUCGGUCAGUCGGCCCGUGGCGGCAUUGCGAAAGCGUGGAGAGUUCCCCCGUAACAGCAGGUCGUCCCACCGGGGAGGCACCGCCGACCACGUGCAGCUGCUUUCCUCACGCUAAAGGGUCUGGGGGGGCACAUGGUGAGAGAGACCCCCAGUAGUCAAGGAAGUCCUCAGAAGAGUCGGACUGGGGAGCGGCAGAGCCUUAUGGGAGAGGGCGAGGGAGUUACUGUGGAGCUCAGCAAGUGCUGGCUUCCGAAAAACACUACACACACACACACACACACACACACACACAAGUAUCUUGUGACUGGCCAAUCCAAGGGUCAUGGGUCACGGGGAAGCGGCUGCAUGCGGCGCCAGGCCAAGGGGCAUUAAUUACAGCGCGAAUAUAGUAUAGGAACUCAGUGGGCACAUAAUUAAUUCUCAGCCACAACAUUUCGGGGGGCAGGAAAUGACCUGUUUGUGAAGAUCAAACAACACACGAGGCAGAAGAAGGGCAAUUACCAGCGAUCAGGAAGAGAGCUCGUCUCAUCUUUUCGUCCUUUGAUCGGCCAAACGGAUCACUUCGGAUCCAUGCAGAGCGGCGGCUCUGUCCACCUACUGUCCAGGCACGGCCCCCCAGGCCCUUCCCCCACCCCCUUCGCCCUCUUCCUCGAAAGCCCUUUGAGCUCCACACUUCUACACAGCAGCGAAUGAUGGAGAGCAACCAGAGCACAGCA